RNAcentral lists this long non-coding RNA (1694 nucleotides) under Canis lupus familiaris (dog). RNAcentral's name for it is "lncRNA (ENSCAFG00000058431.1, ENSCAFG00845012334.1)". The record is from RNAcentral. Lineage: Eukaryota; Metazoa; Chordata; Mammalia; Carnivora; Canidae.
AUGAUUGCUCUGGGCGGUCACAAGGCUCAAGGAAGCUCUUUGAAGACCAACGAUAAAAAUAAUAAAAGGGGGUGGAGGAUUCUGGUACACUUAGAUCCUCAGCACCUCCACUGGCGCCCCCAAACAUCUAGGGGAGUGGGGAAAUAUGGACGUGCCCUUGCAAGUCGGAGGGUUGAUACAAAUGAUGGGGACCGUGGGGAAGAGGGCAUUGUGUCCAGCCCCCGCCCCCCCCGCCUGCAGGCGCAUUCUCCUCCCCGCUUGAAAGAACAUCCUCUGGUCCCGGAAGGGGAGGACGAGGUGCAGAUGAAGAAAAUAUGGGCCUCAGAAAUCAGGAGGCUCAUAUAGACAGAAGUGGAAGGAACGAGUUGGGGAGAUGAUGCAUUCAUUCAUUCAAUCAUUCAUUCAUUCAGCAAAUAUUCACUGAAAUGGGGACAGCCAGAGACAAAGGACCAGAGGAAUUAAAUGGAGACACUGAUAGGGGGAGAUCCGGCAGAAAUAUCCUCAUAUUUCGACGAGUGUGGAGAUGCAGAGGCCUGAGCCACCUAUCCCCCCAGAGGGAUGCUUCAGCUGGUGAGAGCCACAUGGGGAGCUCAAGAAGGGACUGGACUACUCGAGGGCCAGAAGGGACACUAGUCACAAUGGACUGAAGCAAUCGAAUAUGUUUAAAGCCAUCAAUUCUUAAUUAUGCUACUGUUUUUAAAAAACUAACUGGCCCAAGUUUGAAAGGGGCUAGAGAAUCAACUCAUUAUUUCAAAAUUCACAAAUGCAGGAACAGAAUUGAGUAUUUAUCCCAUCUUUGCUAUAUGAGCCACCACACUCAGUAACCAAAUAGUAAAUGAGGGGCAGUUUCUGUGUCGAGAAUUAUUCCAGCUAAUAAAGGAAGGAGUGAUUGAAUGUGGUAUCACCAUUGGGGGCGGGGAGGGAGGGAGACUGGUGGAUGAGGCAUGAAGCAUCCAUGGUUGCUAUGCUUCUGGAUGGAAGAAGCAGUACCACCAUCUGUGAAGUGGUCUUGCCAAAGAAAAUAGAACCUACACCUGAUCAGGACUUUCAAUCCAACUACCAUUUACAGGAAAUAACAAUGUACAGGAAAUACAAUUUACAGGAAGUACAGAGGGUCAGAGAGACUUGUUAAAGAACACACUAGACAUGCAAUCAGCGAAACCCAGACUGGAAGAUUGCACACCAAAUAGCCUGGUUCUCUCAAGGAAAGAGACAGAGAGAAAGAGAGAAAGAGAGAGGUUUUAAUGGGGAAUCUAUGGAUUUAAAGAGAUUUAAAGGAGACAUAUCCAUCAGUUGUAGGGUGUGCACCUUAUUUGGAUCCGGAUUCAAACAAAUAUAUUGUAAAAAACAAAAAACAAAAAACCAAACACAUUUAUAAGAAAUUGGAAUUCUGAACACUAUAGGUCUGAUAUUAAGGAAUUAUUAACUUUAAGGUCUGCUAAUGUACUAGUUGUAAUAAUUGUGAUUGUUUAAAAAUGAGUCAUUCUAUUAAAAAAUAGUAAAUUAGAAGAGUCAUCAUCUUUCAAAGUUACAUGCUAAAAUAUUGACGGAAGAAAUUAAAUAGGGAAACUUGGGUGGGUACAGGUGAAGCAGAUUGGCCACGAGUUGCUGACUGUUGAAGUUGGGUCAUGGAUAUAUAGGGGUUCAUUCUUUUAUUCUGCAGACUUUUGUUUAAAAUUUGCAAACUAAGGGGC